GGGCCGGUAGCUCAGGGGUUAGAGCACCCGUCUCAGCUACGCGGGAGGUCGGCGGUUCGAAUCCGCCCCGGCCUA
Molecule: transfer RNA, 75 nt
Filed under: Actinomycetota bacterium
Lineage: Bacteria; Bacillati; Actinomycetota
Description: tRNA-OTHER
Rfam family: tRNA
About the family: Transfer RNA (tRNA) molecules are approximately 80 nucleotides in length. Their secondary structure includes four short double-helical elements and three loops (D, anti-codon, and T loops).
Source: RNAcentral